Molecule: long non-coding RNA, 2042 nt
Organism: Cydia fagiglandana
Lineage: Eukaryota; Metazoa; Arthropoda; Insecta; Lepidoptera; Tortricidae
Exons: 5
Source: RefSeq, a predicted model, not a curated record
AGGACACGCAUAUAUGAGUAAAAUAUUUAAAUAAUUUUGAUUAACAAUCCCGACAUUUUGAAUUAACUAUAUAAAAGUGAUAUUUGUUGUCUUUAAAUUAACUUAAAAUAUCAUUAAUAUUUAACUAAAUCACAAAAUUAUUAUCACACAGUAUAAAAAAAUAAACGUUUUUAAAAUUAGGUAUUUGAUAUUUCCCAAGAUUUUUCUAGUGAUUUAUUUUAUCACAUAUUUCAGAUUACGAGAAACAGAAAGCGCAAUAUUAACAAAAUGUUUCCGGGAGUCUUCACUAGCGGAAUCAACCACCCCAACGCUGGUACAUAUUAUAUAGAAAAGAUGCCUCGUAGCGUUCGUACUCUAAAUGAAGAGAAGAUGCCUCGUGGCCCUGGUACUGUAAAUGCAGAAAAGAUGCCUCGUAGCGCUCGUACUCUAAAUGCAGAAAAGAUGCCUCGUAGCCCUGGUACUGUAAAUGCAGAAAAGAUGCCUCGUAGCGCUCGUACUCUAAAUGCAGAAAAGAUGCCUCGUAGCGCUCGUACUCUAAAUGCAGAAAAGAUACCUCGUAGCCCUGGUACUGUAAAUGAAGAAAAGAUGCCUCGUGGCCCUGGGAAUGUAAAUGAAAAAAAGAUGCCUCGUGGCCCUGGGAAUGUAAAUGAAUACAGGGCACGCCGCCGCAGAGAGGGCGUGAUUAAAAUAAAAGAACCAAGGUCGUGCAAGUUUAUUAUGUUUAUGCUUAACCUUUUUGGGAAGAAAACACGUCGCGAAGACUCUACUGACGGUGAGGCUGGGCCGGCUACAUAGACGGUGCCAUGGAGAAGUCACUGGAGUACUCCGGGAGAUCCUCAGGAGUACAUAUUAUAAAUACUUUAACAGCACAUAUCUUAUACUAUAUAUGUAUUGCACAUAUCUCGCAUAUUUAACAGCACAUAUCUUAUACUAUAUAUGUAUUGCACAUAUCUCGCUCGCUCUAAUAUUAGUGCGAGCGAGAUGUAUAGAAAGUAAGUUACGCAGACGUUAGCGUAUAUAUGUCAGUUUGACACUGCUAAGGCAGUCGUGGAACCUAAGGGUAAUGUAUACUUCUUGUAGGUCAGUUUGGACUUAAUCGAUGGUCUUAUUAUUUAAUUAUUUAAAUCAACUUUAGCUAAACUGAUAUAAUGCAUAUAUUUGGUACCUGUAUAGGUAUAUAAUAUUUAAAUAUGUUUAUCUAUUGGAUUGAUAAUAUCAAUAUUAUUUAAGUUUUUUUUAUUUUUAUAAACCACCAAAUUGGUGACAAUUAGGUACAUUAUUGUUCUAAACAAUCUCAAUUUAAGAAUAUUAUUGUGACAGUAAAACCCAUGAUAAAACAAUUUCAUCAAAUUUUUAUUUUCAUUUUAAACAAAAACAUUUCAAACAUUCGUCCGCCAUUCGUAAAUAUGAUGAAAAUAAACAGAAACAAACAGUUAAUUCCUAACUAAGUUGUUUCGUUGUCCAUGCCUUUGUAUUAUGUAGUAGUAUUUAGUUUAGUGCGUAGUGAGUAGUUACAUUGUUAGCACAGAAAAAUAAAGUUUAAUUGAUCUGAAGUCAUGGUAUUCACCUAUUAGUUAAACGCGCGUCUUAGGCUGCUUAAAACAUUUUUUAUCACACCAGCUCGGAAAGGUUUACUUUGCACUUCAAAAACUGAUAAGAAAGUUGUAUUUUAUCCACAUGUGAUGCAAAAUAAAAUUAUGCAAAAUUUGAGUUGUUGGCUGAUAGAAUGGACUUUUAAAUGAUGAUUUUGGAUAAUAAAUGUUUAAUAACAUUCAUUUGGAUUUGAUUUGAUUUGAUUUUGUUUGAUGUUUUACAGUUGGUAUUUUCCUUGCGUUGGUGUGUUGAAAAUUUUUAUAUUUCACUCGGUGGCAAAAUUUGUUUAAGCCUCGUGCCUUAAAACUCUCGCAACGCUCAAGAUUUCCCUUUUCGAACCACUCGCUACCUACGCUCGUGAUUCAAUUUUGGAAUCUUUCGCUUGCUCGGGUAUCAAUAUUAGCACGAGCGGUUAAACAACAACUUUGCCCCCUUGUAAAACAAAUAAC